UGGGCUGUAGCCAAGCGGUAAGGCAACGGACUUUGACUCCGUCAUUCGUAGGUUCAAAUCCUGCCAGCCCAG
RNAcentral lists this transfer RNA (72 nucleotides) under Tepidibacillus decaturensis. It matches the Rfam family "tRNA". From Rfam's summary of the family: Transfer RNA (tRNA) molecules are approximately 80 nucleotides in length. Their secondary structure includes four short double-helical elements and three loops (D, anti-codon, and T loops). Further hydrogen bonds mediate the characteristic L-shaped molecular structure. tRNAs have two regions of fundamental functional importance: the anti-codon, which is responsible for specific mRNA codon recognition, and the 3' end, to which the tRNAs corresponding amino acid is attached (by aminoacyl-tRNA synthetases). tRNAs cope with the degeneracy of the genetic code in two manners: having more than one tRNA (with a specific anti-codon) for a particular amino acid; and 'wobble' base-pairing, i.e. permitting non-standard base-pairing at the 3rd anti-codon position. RNAcentral also lists the same sequence under 1 other name. The record is from Rfam by way of RNAcentral. Lineage: Bacteria; Bacillati; Bacillota; Bacilli; Caryophanales; Bacillaceae.